Gavialis gangeticus (Gharial) is the source of this 110-nucleotide long non-coding RNA. RefSeq lists it as uncharacterized. NCBI's taxonomy places the organism in Eukaryota, Metazoa, Chordata, Crocodylia, Gavialidae. The record is from RefSeq and is a predicted model, not a curated record. The transcript has 3 exons.
CAUGCAGGCACAUAUGCUUGCAGCAGCUCAUAUAGGAGCUGCACAAAUUUGAGCUGGGGAUUUUUGCCUCGGUACACAUGCCUGGACGUGCGCUUUGGUAUGUGGCAAGA